UCUACAAAAGCUCAGAAUUUCCCCGAAGCUGCAGCAGCCACAAGCAGCAGCUUCUUGAAGUUGCUGCAACUAAGGCCAGAACUGAACCAAACCAUGCUUGUGCUUACACAGCAUGGUCAGGAAGUUUGGAGAAUGAAACCCUUCAGUCCUGAGGUCUCCCCAGACCCACCCCGUGCCACUGCAGCCCACCUGCUUUACGUCUGUACCCUCUUCCUGACCUUGCUCAGCUUGGCCCAAGGCUCCAGAGGUUCCAUGGUACCCAACAAGCCGUUCAUCACUGUUUGGAAUGCAGACACUUACUGGUGCCUGGAGAGUCAUGGAGUGGAUGUGGAUGUCAGUGUGUUUGACGUGAUUGCCAACAAGGAGCAGAGCUUUCAAGGCCUUAACAUGACAAUUUUCUACAGCUGGCAGUUGGGCACCUACCCCUUCUAUACAUCUACUGGGGAAGCCGUAUAUGGUGGCCUGCCCCAGAAUGCUAGCCUGGUUACCCACCUCGCUCACGCAUUCCAGGACAUCAAGGCUGUCAUGCCUGAACCUGACUUCUCAGGACUGGCAGUCAUUGACUGGGAGGCAUGGCGCCCACGAUGGGCCUUCAACUGGGACAGCAAGGACAUUUAUCGACAGCGCUCAAUGGCACUUGUCCAGGCAGAACACCCUGACUGGCCGGAAACUUUAGUGGAGUCAGUAGCUCAGGACCAGUUCCAGGAAGCUGCACAGGCCUGGAUGGCAGGCACCCUCCAGCUGGGGCAGGUACUGCGUCCUCGUGGCCUCUGGGGCUACUAUGGCUUCCCUGACUGCUACAACUAUGACUUCCUAAGUUCCAAUUACACAGGCCAGUGCUCACUAAACAUCCGUGACCAGAAUGAUCAGCUAGAGUGGUUAUGGAACCAGAGCUAUGCCCUCUAUCCCAGUAUCUACUUGCCUCCAGCACUGAUGGGCACAGGGAAGGCACGGUUGUAUGUUCAACACCGUGUACAAGAGGCAUUCCGUGUAGCUAGCACUUCCAGAGACCCGAAUGUGCCCAUACUGCCCUACGUGCAGAUCUUCUAUGAAAUGACAGAUCAUCUUCUGUCCCUGGAGGAGCUGGAACAGAGCAUUGGGGAGAGCGCAGCUCAGGGAGCAGCAGGUGUGGUGGUCUGGGUGAGCUCAAAAAAUACAUCUACCAAGGAAUCAUGCCAGGUCAUUAAAGAGUAUAUGGAUUCCACACUUGGCCCUUUCAUCAUGAACGUGACCAGUGCAGCUCUUCUCUGCAGUGAAGCUCUGUGUUCUGGCCAUGGUCGCUGUGCCCGCCGUCCCAGUUAUCCCGAGGCUCUGCUCACCCUCAAUCCGGCCAGUUUUUCCAUUCAGCUAACAAGUGAUGGCAGGCCCCCAAGCCUCAAUGGUACCCUCACACUUAACGAUCGGACAGAAAUGGCUAUGAAAUUCAAGUGUCGCUGCUACCGUGGAUGGCGUGGAAAGUGGUGUGAGAAGCGGGGUGGUGACAUUCCGGGCACGGAGGACUUAGGAGGAGGUACGCCGUCUCCGGGGAAGACUGCUGUGAGUCCUCCGUACGGCUGGGACCAGCGUAGGCAAACCGAGGAAUCGGAGCCAGAGACCGCGAGAUACAGAAUCGUGCGCAGGCUGGAAGCGGACCAUCCCGGAGCUCGGCUUUAACAUUCCUUGCUUAGGAGCUGGGAGGGAACGCUGCUCCGACUGAGCUGACUGAGGCAGCCUAGCGUGGCUGUUAUCCACAGGAGGUGAAUCCGUGUAUGAGGCGAUGCCACUGCCUGGAGACUGUGGUCUUACCCUCCAGCCUGGCAGUGAGCCACCUGAAACCUAAUGGGAAGUGACCUUGGCUUCCUAUCUGCCUCAGCUGAGCCUGGAUCCUACCUGUAGGCAAGAGCUGACUCUGAGCCCUGGCCCAGCCACACUGACCCCUACCUUAGACCGGAUGGA
This is an RNA transcript of Microtus oregoni (creeping vole), 1935 nucleotides long. It is a transcript of the gene named hyaluronidase 1, with no coding region annotated. The transcript is spliced from 7 exons. The record is from RefSeq and is a predicted model, not a curated record. NCBI's taxonomy places the organism in Eukaryota, Metazoa, Chordata, Mammalia, Rodentia, Cricetidae.